GGGGAUGACAGGCUUCGACGGAAGAGGCUGGUCCCGGAAUGCGAGCCGAGAGGCGCCGAACUCGUAAACUCAGCGCAAAAAAUCAAGUGCCAACCGCACUUCCUAUGCCGCUAUGCCUCUCGCCGCGUAAGCGAUGAGACCAUAACGGUCAACAUCCACAGAUGAUGUUGCGUCCGCCGGCACCCCUCUCCACCGGGUGACGGAUCGGGCGAGACAAAGGUGGAGUGCCGCGCACGACGCCGCUACAUGCGCGAAAGACCAGCGGCUGGUCGCAGGGAGUUCCUGUCGGACGAGACCCCUGCGAUGACGAAUCUCGACCGACUACGCUCGUAGAUUUCCGAGGGUCGAAUCUUUCGGACCCGGGUUCGAUUCCCGGCAUCUCCACUG
RNAcentral lists this transfer-messenger RNA (387 nucleotides) under Anaerolineales. RNAcentral's name for it is "UBA12294 sp013360875 Standard tmRNA". It matches the Rfam family "transfer-messenger RNA". Rfam says of the family: Bacterial tmRNA, also known as 10Sa RNA or SsrA, is named for its dual tRNA and mRNA-like properties. Its role is to liberate the mRNA from a stalled ribosome. Lineage: Bacteria; Bacillati; Chloroflexota; Anaerolineae. RNAcentral also lists the same sequence under 1 other name. The record is from RNAcentral.